Molecule: ribosomal RNA, 333 nt
Filed under: Triticum aestivum (bread wheat)
Lineage: Eukaryota; Viridiplantae; Streptophyta; Magnoliopsida; Poales; Poaceae
Description: partial small subunit ribosomal RNA
Source: RNAcentral
AUGCAGUACUGGUCCCUGGAGGGGGCCGAGGAGAUCCUGGGGAAGAAGGUGCGUGUCGACCGCCUCGACAGCAGGACGCUGGAGCGCGGGCACACGAAAACUUUCGCCUGCUGGCUCUGGACUCGCGACGUCGCCCACAUCCCCACCAAGCACACCUUGUGGGUGUUGCCGCGCGGCGCGGGGCGAGUGGAAGAGAUGCAGGGCUUCUCGCCGCCGGACCGGCGUGUGGCUCCGUCGCCGGGCGCUGUGUCCUACACGAUGCUGAUCCACGUCGACCGGGUGGAAGAUUGGACGCCUCUCUCCCCGCGCUCCUCCCACUCUGGCCAGAGUGGG